RNAcentral lists this ribosomal RNA (292 nucleotides) under uncultured bacterium. RNAcentral's name for it is "partial 16S ribosomal RNA". It matches the Rfam family "Bacterial small subunit ribosomal RNA", at positions 505 to 796 of the family's 1533-position model. The record is from RNAcentral.
GUGUCAGCCGCCGCGGUAAGACGAACCGAGCGAACGUUGUUCGGAAUCACUGGGCUUAAAGGGCGCGUAGGCGGGCAUUCAAGUCUAUGGUGAAAUCCGGCAGCUCAACUGUCGAAUUGCCGUGGAUACUGGGUGUCUCGAGGGAGGUAGGGGCAUGCGGAACUAUUGGUGGAGCGGUGAAAUGCGUUGAUAUCAAUAGGAACUCCGGUGGCGAAGGCGGCAUGCUGGACCUCUUCUGACGCUGAGGCGCGAAAGCCAGGGGAGCAAACGGGAUUAGAUACCCCAGUAGUCC